GUCUCAUCACGUCCUCUGUUGGAGCGGGAGGUGCUGGGCUUUGUUCUGUGCCUGGCCAGGGCUUGGACUUCAUUCAAACUUUCAAAACUCGCUGGCAGCAUCACCUGAGCAUUUUUCAACCUGACGAGACAGCAGAUAUCGCUCAUGCAAAUCAUUCCAGGAGAUUUUCCCAGGGAGAUUCACAAACUGGCUGGGGAGCAAAAUAUGAAAAUACAUCAGAAGGUCUCAUUAGAUAGGAAUCCACUCACCGCAAUCGACAUCAAAACAAGGCCCUCAUGAGCAUCAUGCCCCUGGCUUGGAGGAUGGCGAUCGCGAUUAUGCUGUUACCACCUUGGGAAUGAAAGACAACCCAAAAGUAAACAGAGGUGCCAUAAGAGGAGUGGCGAGACCCAGAUCUGAUGUCAGAGUCCUGCACUCCAUACAGUACUUCAGAGCCCCACCGAACAUACAGUUAGACGGUGGGGGGGCUGAAUGGGUCUUGGUGAAGGAUUGUGGUCAUCCCUUUCUAACCACACCCCAGUGACAGCCUCCUCCGGCCAAUCAGGUGCAUACAAUCAGCCUUCACAAU
This is a long non-coding RNA of Anguilla anguilla (European eel), 568 nucleotides long. RefSeq lists it as uncharacterized. Lineage: Eukaryota; Metazoa; Chordata; Actinopteri; Anguilliformes; Anguillidae. The record is from RefSeq and is a predicted model, not a curated record. The transcript is spliced from 5 exons.